Molecule: long non-coding RNA, 281 nt
Organism: Acromyrmex echinatior (Panamanian leafcutter ant)
Lineage: Eukaryota; Metazoa; Arthropoda; Insecta; Hymenoptera; Formicidae
Source: RefSeq, a predicted model, not a curated record
UACCUGCCAUGCCAUAAACGGGUUCUUUGAUCGCUGAAGUGUGGUCGGCGUUGAGCAACGUGACUCUAUAGACAGGUCACAAAUGAAGAGAUUUCCGCUUCGAAGGGCAGAUGGCCCAUUUCGUGAUUGGUCACCAAUACAUUGUUCACCCACUACACAAAAAUACAUGAACGACAUGUGCAGCUUACAAUUUACUGAAUUUUAGGAAAGUCUCAAAAGAUCGCUUUGGAAUUGAAAAACUUAGAGUGACAGAUGCUUACUACUUGUGCGAGAUAAUGGAC